GCCAGUGUAGUGUAGUGGUUUGAGCAUUAGACUAUGACUCUGGAGAACAAGGUUCAAAUUCCUACUUGGCCA
Molecule: non-coding RNA, 72 nt
Organism: Phrynosoma platyrhinos (Desert horned lizard)
Lineage: Eukaryota; Metazoa; Chordata; Lepidosauria; Squamata; Phrynosomatidae
Source: the annotation of a GenBank genome assembly